Molecule: ribosomal RNA, 460 nt
Filed under: uncultured bacterium
Lineage: Bacteria
Description: partial 16S ribosomal RNA
Rfam family: Bacterial small subunit ribosomal RNA
Source: RNAcentral
CCUACGGGCGGCAGCAGUGAGGAAUAUUGGUCAAUGGACGAGAGUCUGAACCAGCCACGUAGCGUGAAGGAUGACUGCCCUAUGGGUUGUAAACUUCUUUUAUCUGGGAAUAAAAUGUUCCACGUGUGGGAUUUUGUAUGUACCAUAUGAAUAAGGAUCGGCUAACUCCGUGCCAGCAGCCGCGGUAAUAAGGAGGAUCCGAGCGUUCUCCGGAUUUAUUUGGUUUAAAGGGAGCGUAGGGGGAUUGUUAAGUCAGUUGUGAAAGUUUGCGGCUCAACCGUAAAAUUGCAGUUGAAACUGGCAGUCUUGAGUACAGGAGAGGUGUGCGGAAUUCGUGGUGUAGCGGUGAAAUGCUUAGAUAUCACGAAGAACUCCGAUUGCGAAGGCAGUUCACUGGACUGCAACUGACACUGAGGCUCGAAAGUGUGGGUAUCAAACAGGAUUAGAUACCCCAGUAGUC